AAAGGUUUCCUUCAACACACACACAAUAAGAUGUCUCGGUGUCCCAGAGGUCUUCCAGGUCGAGCUGCAGCGUGAGAAACCCUCCAAUCAGAGCAUUCGAAAACGACCCAUUAGAGACCAGAUCAUGCUGGACCUGAACCCAGCUGUGUGUCCAUGGAGACACUACUACUUUAAAAAAGAAGCUGACCUGACCUUGAGUGGUGAAUAGAAAUGGAGGAGAGGCUACCUGAAAUGGAGGAGAGAGGCUUGACGGAGAGACUUGAAUGGCAGAAGGAGAGAACUGCAAUGGAAAGG
This is a long non-coding RNA of Etheostoma spectabile (orangethroat darter), 294 nucleotides long. RefSeq lists it as uncharacterized. The transcript has 2 exons. NCBI's taxonomy places the organism in Eukaryota, Metazoa, Chordata, Actinopteri, Perciformes, Percidae. The record is from RefSeq and is a predicted model, not a curated record.